CAGAGCCAAGGAAGCUGCACAGGGACAAGGGCUGAUGAUAUUGAAAGUUCAUAUGGAUCAGGUGAUUUCACUGUGAAAGGCUUCCUCCACAGACUGAGCAUCAUCAAUGACUGGGCAAAAUUCCACUGGGCUCUUCUAGACUUUUUCCAAGGACUAUUUCUGGAAACAAACUUCAACAUUCCCAGGUUUCAAGCUUUGAGUAUUUCUGCAUUGACAGUUGCAACCGAUUAAUUCCAUUGGAUGGUUUCUUGUUCUGAAGUUAAAAUUUCAAAGUAUCUGAUCCUGGCUUAAUGUCACUCAAG
RNAcentral lists this non-coding RNA (302 nucleotides) under Mus musculus (house mouse). The record is from RNAcentral. Lineage: Eukaryota; Metazoa; Chordata; Mammalia; Rodentia; Muridae.